RNAcentral lists this long non-coding RNA (428 nucleotides) under Cottoperca gobio. Its description in RNAcentral is "lncRNA (ENSCGOG00000010762.1)". The record is from RNAcentral. Lineage: Eukaryota; Metazoa; Chordata; Actinopteri; Perciformes; Bovichtidae.
CUGAUGCACUCUGACAGAAAUGGAUGAACAUGCAGUGCUUGCAGACAAACAUGCAGCAGCUCUGGUUAUGAAAUAAACACUGACCUGGAACCUCUGUCCCAUUGAGUCCUGUUUAAAGGAAAUGAUUUAAAAAAACAUGAAAGUGUGAAGACAACACAGCCAGAAGACUAAACAAAGAGAUCUAAGAUGACAGGUUCUCCAGCAAGUUUAAACACACCUUCUCCUCCAGAACUUCCAGACCCCUCUAUCACACUGCCAGCACCGCUAUCACCUGGAAUAAGAAGCCUACCACUGGGUCCAGAUGUUGUCCCUGCACCACUGCUUGUGCUGGUGCCAUUCACUGAAACACCAGUGCCGGUCCCUGUACCAGAUCCUGCAGUGCCGGUCCCUGUACCAGAUCCUGCAGUGCCAGAUCCUGCAGUGCCAGU